AUUUAUUGAAUAUUAAGCUCUAGGAUAAAAAAACCUGCUUAGACAGAACAUGGGUAUUUUCGAAUACUUUAUUUAGAAGAUCUUGUCAGGACAAUGAUAUAAGAUUACAGAAAAAUAUCUGACGUAGGACAAAUGUAUAAAGUCUUCAGGAUACCCUUCGGGAACAAUUUAGAAUGAUGCAGCGUAAACUACAGUAAAGUCUGAACAUUAAAGCAUAAAGAAACAAAAUCCACAACUUAUUCUGCCAAAUACAAAUAGUACACAUCUUAUUUUACUAAGCGUGUUGACCGUACUCUUCAUACACACAAAAAUCGGCACCCAAGGCCUGAAAUGCCAACUCUAGUAUACCUAUUCUAUGUAAUAAAUAUUUUUUUAAGUAUA
This 381-nucleotide long non-coding RNA is filed under the name Sitophilus oryzae (rice weevil). RNAcentral describes it as "uncharacterized LOC115874923". Lineage: Eukaryota; Metazoa; Arthropoda; Insecta; Coleoptera; Curculionidae. The record is from RNAcentral.